RNAcentral lists this ribosomal RNA (492 nucleotides) under uncultured bacterium. RNAcentral's name for it is "partial 16S ribosomal RNA". It matches the Rfam family "Bacterial small subunit ribosomal RNA", at positions 29 to 507 of the family's 1533-position model. The record is from RNAcentral.
AGUGAACGCUGGCGGUAGGCCUAACACAUGCAAGUCGAACGGCAGCACAGUAAGAGCUUGCUCUUACGGGUGGCGAGUGGCGGACGGGUGAGGAAUACAUCGGAACCUACUUUUUCGUGGGGGAUAACGUAGGGGAACUUACGCUAAUACCGCAUACGACCUACGGGUGAAAGCAGGGGAUCUUCGGACCUUGCGCGAUUGAAUGAGCCGAUGUCGGAUUAGCUAGUUGGCGGGGUAAAGGCCCACCAAGGCGACGAUCCGUAGCUGGUCUGAGAGGAUGAUCAGCCACACUGGAACUGAGACACGGUCCAGACUCCUACGGGAGGCAGCAGUGGGGAAUAUUGGACAAUGGGCGCAAGCCUGAUCCAGCCAUACCGCGUGGGUGAAGAAGGCCUUCGGGUUGUAAAGCCCUUUUGUUGGGAAAGAAAAGCAGCAGGUUAAUACCCCGCUGUUCUGGCGGUACCCAAAGAAUAAGCACCGGCUAACUUCGUG